Non-coding RNA from Picea glauca (white spruce), 121 nucleotides. NCBI's taxonomy places the organism in Eukaryota, Viridiplantae, Streptophyta, Pinopsida, Pinales, Pinaceae. The record is from Rfam.
ACAUGCUUACAACAUAGUGUUAAUGCACCAGAUCCUAUUAGAAAUCUGCAGUUAAGAAUGCUUGGGAUAGAUUAGUAUUAGGAUGGGUGAUCACCCCAGAAGUCCUAGUGUUUUACAUGCC